Molecule: ribosomal RNA, 320 nt
Filed under: Loma kenti
Lineage: Eukaryota; Fungi; Microsporidia; Glugeidae
Description: SSU rRNA
Rfam family: Microsporidia small subunit ribosomal RNA
Source: RNAcentral
CAGGAAGGAUGGGUCAAGGACAGGUCAGUGAUGCCCUUAGAUGGUCCGGGCUGCACGCGCACUACAGUGGUCGCCGAAAUUACCUGAUAAUUUUAAAGGCGAUCGAGAGGGAAUGAGCUUUGUAAGAGGCUCAGGAACGAGGAAUUGCUAGUAAUCGCGGACUCAUUAAGACGCGAUGAAUACGUCCCUGUUCUUUGUACACACCGCCCGUCGUUAUCGAAGAUGAAGACAGGCGCGAACGAUCUUACCAGAAAGUGAGCGCAGGUCUUUAGAUCUGAUACAAGUCGUAACAAGGUAGCUGUAGGAGAACCUGUAGCUGG